Molecule: long non-coding RNA, 475 nt
Organism: Dicentrarchus labrax (European seabass)
Lineage: Eukaryota; Metazoa; Chordata; Actinopteri; Moronidae
Exons: 4
Source: RefSeq, a predicted model, not a curated record
ACCUACAAAGAGCUACGACAUCAAUUCCUGUUUCAAAUGCACGCCACAGGAAGUUGUUCAAGACAAAGUCAGAGACUAGAGGACAAAGUCAGACUAGAGGACAAAGUCAGACUAGAGGACAAAGUCAGAGACUAGAGGACAAAGUCAGAGACUAGAGGACAAAGUCAGACUAGAGGACAAAGUCAGAGACUAGAGGACAAAGUCAGACUAGAGGACAAAGUCAGACUAGAGGACAAAGUCAGAGACUAGAGGACAAAGUCAGAGACUAGAGGACAAAGUCAGACUAGAGGACAAAGUCAGACUAGAGGACAAAGUCAGAGACUAGAGGACAAAGUCAGAGACUAGAGGACAAAGUCAGAGACUAGAGGACAAAGUCAGACUAGAGGACAAAGUCAGAGACUAGAGGACAAAGUCAGACUAGAGGACAAAGUCAGAGACGAGAGGACAGCAGCUGAAGUCAGAGUUGAGAGGUCAA